UGGGGACAGGAGUGGUAACUGCCAAGUACUUCCCAUACUAGAUCUGGAACUGGAUCUCACCUUUCAUUUUAGGUGUUGUCUAUCCCUCUUCUAGACUGUGAAUCCUUAUCAUUAUCCAAGACUCCAGGAGAAGACCAUGAGUGCUGGGAUAGAAGAGGGACUGAGGUAAUAACACAUCCAUGGGGACUGAAACUUUUAAAGCAGAAUUUGCAGGAGCUUCAGUUACACCAGGAUGAUUGAGAAGAGCCAAAGAGACGGUGCCAUCAUGGUGACAAAGAUUUUACCUCCUAAAUUUUGCUUCUUGAGCUAGAAGUGAUAAGUUUCAAUAAAUCACAGAGAUCGUGAGUUACAAACCAUAUUGACACAGUUGCCAUAUGUACCCUGGAUGCUUUUGCAGAUUAUUUUAGGAAAUUAUCUUAUUUAAACUUAAGACAUUUCAUUAAAUAUAGCCUUGACUGACA
Molecule: long non-coding RNA, 461 nt
Organism: Canis lupus familiaris (dog)
Lineage: Eukaryota; Metazoa; Chordata; Mammalia; Carnivora; Canidae
Exons: 2
Source: RefSeq, a predicted model, not a curated record